RNAcentral lists this ribosomal RNA (562 nucleotides) under uncultured bacterium. RNAcentral describes it as "bacterial SSU rRNA". It matches the Rfam family "Bacterial small subunit ribosomal RNA", at positions 102 to 674 of the family's 1533-position model. The record is from RNAcentral.
AAGGGAGAGGAACACGUGGAUACCUACCCUCAGGUUCAGGAUAGCUAUGGGAAACUAUAGGUAAUACUGAAUAAUAUCUCCGGAUCAAGGGUGUGAUUCCGCCGGAGGAGGGGUCCGCGUCCUAUUAGCUAGUUGGUGAGGUAACGGCUCACCAAGGCGAAGAUGGGUACGAGAUGUGAGAGCAUAAUCUCGCUCAUUGGGACUGAGACACUGCCCAGACACCUACGGGUGGCUGCAGUCGAGAAUCUUCGGCAAUGGGGGAAACCCUGACCGAGCGACGCCGCGUGCGGGAUGAAGGCCUUCGGGUUGUAAACCGCUGUCGUAGAGGAGGAAAUGUUGGUGGGUUCUCCCAUCAGCUUGACCUAUUCUAGGAGGAAGGACGGGCUAAGUUCGUGCCAGCAGCCGCGGUAAGACGGACCGUCCAAACGUUAUUCGGAAUCACUGGGCUUAAAGGGUGCGUAGGCCGUUCGGAAAGUUGGAUGUGAAAUACCUCGGCUCAACCGAGGAACUGCGCCCAAAACUACCGGACUCGAGGGAGACAUAGGUGUGCGGAACUUAGGGU